RNAcentral lists this transfer RNA (65 nucleotides) under Tenebrionoidea sp. 15 KM-2017. Its description in RNAcentral is "tRNA-Trp". The record is from RNAcentral. Lineage: Eukaryota; Metazoa; Arthropoda; Insecta; Coleoptera.
AAGGAUUUAAGUUAAAUUCUAAACUGUUGACCUUCAAAGUCACUAAUGGGGCAUUCUAAUCCUUG